This is a long non-coding RNA of Oreochromis aureus, 702 nucleotides long. NCBI's taxonomy places the organism in Eukaryota, Metazoa, Chordata, Actinopteri, Cichliformes, Cichlidae. The record is from Ensembl.
AAGCACCCUGAGUAUCUAAGAUCGACACAGCUCAGAAAACAUGUUGCCACACUCUCACAAGUCCUUAAUUUGAAAAACAAUGAACUUGAUCAGGUUGCAGAUUUCCUGGGUCAUGAUAUUCGCGUUCACUGCGAAUUCUACAGAUUACCAGUUCCCACAACACAGCUGGCCAAGAUUUCCAAACUGCUUUUAACACUGGAAAAAGGACAUCUUUCCCAGAUCCAGGGGAACUCACUGGAUGAGAUCGAAAUUAAAGAUGAAAUUGCAUUAAGUGAUGCUGAAACAAAGGACAGUGAGAGUGAAUCAGAUGAUGAUGACACAGCACUCACAAUGUCAGCGUGUGGCACCAGUGAGCCUGUACAUGCAGUAGCUGAUUCCACAAACACAGCGCAGCUCCAAGACACUGUAGAUUGUGAUGAAGAACCACUCAUAAUGCCUGCAGCAAGUGAGACUGCUGCUCCCUCUGAAGAUAAAAAUGCUGCUCAAUCCCACAAUUCCCGAAGAGCUCCCAAAAACAUGUGGUCCAAGGAUGAGGUUGCUGCAGUGAUGAGGCAUUUUAAAGACCACAUAAACGAAGGGAAACUGGCCACCAAAAAUGAAUGCAGUCAUUGCAAAUUGGUAGAAGAUCCGGUGUUGGCAGGAAGAACAGUUCAAAACAUAAGAGAUUUUGUAAGAAACAGAGGAUUAACUGCAAAAAGGCAG